RNAcentral lists this unclassified non-coding RNA (1124 nucleotides) under Hevea brasiliensis (rubber tree). The record is from RNAcentral. Lineage: Eukaryota; Viridiplantae; Streptophyta; Magnoliopsida; Malpighiales; Euphorbiaceae.
AGCAUUUGAUGUGUAAUUCCAAUGGUCUAUGCAGAGUGUGCAUCAUUAUCAACUAUCCCUCGUGGUAAAUGGUACUGCAAGUAUUGUGAAAGCAUGUUACAGAGGGAGAAGUUUGCGGAGCGCAAUACGAAUGCCUUAGCAGCCGGCAGGAUCUCCGGCAUUGAUCCUAUUGAGCAAAUAACAAACCGUUGCAUUCGUUUUGUCAAGAAUGCAGAAGAGGCAGAAUUUAUUGCAUGUGUUUUAUGCAGAGCUUAUGACUUUAGCAAGUCUGGUUUUGGUCCACGGACUGUCAUUCUUUGUGACCAGUGCGAGAAAGAGUAUCAUGUUGGCUGCUUGAAGAAAAGCAAGAUAGCAGAUUUAAAGGAAUUGCCUAAAGGAAAAUGGUUCUGUAGUGUGGAUUGCAAGAGGAUCUAUUGUGCCCUGCAAAAUUUGCUUAACUCAGGAGAAGAGAGGUUGCCUGAUUCUUGUUUGGAUGCAGGAAGAGUUAAGGAAAAACAUAACAGUUUGGUUGCUGUUGGUGAACUUGAUGUUAGAUGGAGGCUUCUUAGUGGCAGAAUUUCCUCCCGUGAAACCAGAAGGCUACUGGCAGAAGCUGUUUCUAUCUUCCAUGAUGGUUUCGAUCCUAUUGUUGAUUCAGUAACUGGACGUGACUUCAUUCCUUCUAUGGUUUAUGGAAGGAAUAUUAGGGGCCAAGACUUUGGGGGCAUGUAUUGCGCUAUAUUGACUGUAAACUCAACAGUAAUAUCAGCAGGGAUCCUCCGGAUUUUUGGCCAGGAUAUGGCAGAACUCCCUCUUGUGGCAACCCGUGUUGGUAGCCAAGGCAAGGGAUACUUUCAGUUGCUGUUCUCCUGCAUAGAAAAAUUGCUUGCAUUUUUGGGCGUGAGACGCUUUGUACUCCCAGCUGCUGUUGAAGCUAUGUCGAUUUGGACUAAGAAAUUUGGAUUUGAGGAGUUAACACCAGAGCAGCUUGUCAGCUACAGAAAAACUUGUUGGCAAAUGAUUAGCUUUAAAGGCACAUCUAUGCUGGAAAAAAUGGUUCCUAAAUGUAGAAUCAUUAAACAAGGGGAAGGUGAAACUGAUGUUCCAGAUGAGUAGUUAAAUCCCAUUUGUAAAUCCAUUUUUUU